This 460-nucleotide ribosomal RNA is filed under the name uncultured bacterium. RNAcentral describes it as "partial 16S ribosomal RNA". It matches the Rfam family "Bacterial small subunit ribosomal RNA", at positions 338 to 795 of the family's 1533-position model. The record is from RNAcentral.
CCUACGGGUGACAGCAGUGAGGAAUAUUGGUCAAUGGACGCAAGUCUGAACCAGCCAUGCCGCGUGCAGGAAGACGGCUCUAUGAGUUGUAAACUGCUUUUGUACGAGGGUAAACGCAGAUACGCGUAUCUGUCUGAAAGUAUCGUACGAAUAAGGAUCGGCUAACUCCGUGCCAGCAGCCGCGGUAAUACGGAGGAUUCAAGCGUUAUCCGGAUUUAUUGGGUUUAAAGGGUGCGUAGGCGGUCGGAUAAGUUAGAGGUGAAAUCCCGAGGCUCAACUUCGGAAUUGCCUCUGAUACUGUUCGGCUAGAGAGUAGUUGCGGUAGGCGGAAUGUAUGGUGUAGCGGUGAAAUGCUUAGAGAUCAUACAGAACACCGAUUGCGAAGGCAGCUUACUAAGCUACUUCUGACGUUGAGGCACGAAAGCGUGGGGAGCAAACAGGAUUAGAUACCCCUGUAGUC